Molecule: non-coding RNA, 6274 nt
Organism: Sus scrofa (pig)
Lineage: Eukaryota; Metazoa; Chordata; Mammalia; Artiodactyla; Suidae
Source: RefSeq, a predicted model, not a curated record
GUUGGGUUCAUAACCCCCGAGCCAUUUGUGUUUUUUUUAAACUACUAAAUUUGUGAUCCUUUUUUAUAGCAGCAAUAGGAAACUAAUACAGAUUUUGGUACCCAAAGUGAAGUGUUGCCCUAGCAAAUACCUAAAAACAGAAUUGGCUUUGGAAUUUGAAUUUGGAAAUGGGCAGAAACUGAAAGAAUUUGAGGUGCAUGCUUAGAUUGCCUUGAACGCUUUUCCUCUGAGCAGUGAGGGGCUGGGAAUGGGAGUGGGGAACUCUCCACAGCCUAGAGACCUGAGCUACCCAGGCCCCCUAGUGUUGGUCCUUUCUUGGAAUGAGAGGACUAGGAGACUGCCCAGGGUGGGCCUAGAGAGCCUGGCUUGGGCACUGGGAGCGAGUAGGGAAUGGAUUGGGAUCUAGAGGCAAGAGCAAAGCUGGCUUCCAUGGCCCAACUCCAGGGGCAUGGGAGCCACCCAGCCCCUUGGAGAGGAUCUCAGAGCCUGGAUCUGAGCCUGGUCCUGGCUUCCACCCCUGGAGCAUGUGAGGAUGAGCAGGCGCCAUGUCUGUGAAAUGAGCCACAGCAGUGCCCGAGUCCAAGCUAAUGGACCUAACCCAUCCAUGUAAGCCAUGGAGGUUUGGCUCCUACCAGCCCUCAGGCAGUGCCUAGCUCCUGCUAUGGGCCUCAGCUGGGCUGUGUGGCAGGAACAAAUUGGGUCAUUCCUGGGAUUCUCAGUGUCAUGGUCCCCAAAGCUGAAGUGGCUAACUGGAACCUUUGACCCUAUAUCCCUGGCCAGGAUGGGACCAGGACCUCAUUCCAGAGGAGGGAUGUUCAGUGGCUCUGGAGGCACUAUCCCACCUGGCCAAGAUCUGGGGCUCCUAAAGCCACAGCCCCAACUCAGGAGCCACAUGAAGAACUACUGGGAGCAUAGACAUGGGAUGAUGUGCAUCAUGCUUGGUCUGAAGACUGAGAAUCUGGGGGAUGGACAGUGUGGACACCUGAAUUGAAGGGACAAGAGAAGCCUUAUGCCAAGCUCAGCCCAAGCCCAGUUUUUUGGACAUAUAGAACCAGGAAGGCUCUGAGAUUUCAUCCAACUUGCAAGCUAACAAGUUACCAUAUUCCUGAGGAUGCUGGCAGAAGAUACAAGACUAUUGCUUGAGAAACAAAGGCUGGAGAGACCUGGGAAAACUCAAGCUCCAGGGAGAUUCCCAAGGGUGCAGUGGGUGCCCAACAGAGGCAUGAAUAAAUGGUGGAAAAGUUAAGGAAGACUUCUCAGAAAAGAAGCAUAUGAUUUGGACUUUGAAGGGUAAGAGGAAGAAGGACAUUUCAGGAUGAAUGACACUGCGUGGAGGGCUAUUUGGAGGGAAAGAAUGGAAUGGCUUAGUGAUUUGGGAAGCUAUGCAUUGGAGCCUGGGGUAAGGCACAGGCAAGGUAUGGGGGGAGCCUGUAAGUAUCACUAAAUGAGGAAGGCCUGACAAGAGUGGGUUUGCAAGCCCCUCACUCUGGAGCCGGUGGUAGGGCUGAGGGGGUCAAUGAGAAGGCCAUCAGGAUGAUCCAUUCAGGUUAGCGAGCAAUGGUAAGGUUAGAUCUGGACAAUGCAGCCAUGGGAGCAGCAGGAGAGCAGCUUGAGAAGGACUUAGGUGCUGGAGACAAAUGUGGAGAUCAAUAGGCUGGGGAGAGCAUGUCGGGGUUGUCUCCAAGAUGGGGGAGAGUGGAGGCAUGUCUAGGGGGCAGUGAAGAAUCCAGCUCUGGACAGAAGAAGUCUGGGGGGACUUGAAUGAAGCUGUCCAUGUUGUCAAGCCAGAAGACAUCAGACUCAAGUUCAAGAGUUCUAGGGUGAGGGGGACAAGCCCCCAGCUUGGGAUUCCAAGCCAUGGGUUCCAGCCUCAUAUGUCCACUUCCUCUCUGGGUGACUGUGAACAAGCUCCCUUCCCUCUCUGGGUGUCAGGCUGCAGCUUUGAAAUGAGACAGACUUGCCUCACCUCCCUCACCUAUGACUCACCUCUGAAAGCAUAGACCAGUGAAGGCUGGAAGAAUAAGAAGCCUGAGGGAGACUCAUCCUGCAGGUGUGGGCAAGGGUAGCAGAUGGCCUAAUCUCUACUAGAGCUGCAAGAGAAGUUGCUAGAUGCUGGGCUUGUCCAGCCUCCACCCCAGCCCAUGCAGAGGCCAGACAAAGGGUCUGUUCCUCAUAACGAGAACCCAAGGCCUUGGUUGGCAAAUGAUGUCUGAGGAUGGAAAGCUGGGUUGGGAGGGCAAAUCCAAGUUGGUGGGAUGAGGGGUUGCUUAGAGCUCCAGGGAGUUCCAGCCAGCUCCCCUGCAGCCCCCGUGGGGACCUCAAGGGACUUCAGCACCUGCCCAGCCCAGCUCUCAAACAAAAUUAAAAUGAUGCACAAGGAAUAGUUAGAGUGACAGUUGUAGCACCUGCUGAGUUGAACCCUCUCAGGCUCCCCUCAGCAUCACCUCAUAAAUCCUUCUGGGCCCCCUGUGUCCCCUCUGAGAGACAUGCUGUCACUUUCCCCAUUUCAUAGCUAAGGAAUCUGCUGAGAUUAGUGAAGUUGAGGGAGACCCCCCAAAACCAAGUGCUUAGCACAUAAUCCAGACUGGGAGGAGAGGGGGUAAAACCAGAGGGUGGGGGGACAUGCUAGCCAGGAGGGAACCUGCUGUCUUAAGACUGAGAUGUGGGAGCCCCAGUCUCCUGCUCUGGAGUGACCACUGGACUGGCCCCUCCGGCAGCUGGCUGUGGAUCCUGCCUAACCUGGGGCGGGUGUAUGUAUGGGAGGGUGGCGCCCAGGUCCUGCCAUCAGGGGUCGGGAGGAUACAUUCAUCAGAAGAGGCUGUUGAAUUUCUGGCAAAGCUCUAACCUGCUUUAUAUUAAAACUGGUCUAACAGGUUGUUAUGACAGGACAACCCAGGCCUGUGCAGACUCCACUUCUCCUGAAGGAAGAGGGCCUUUGUGAGUCCCCAGAAUCCUCCCGCUUCUGGAUCAGGGCUUAUUUCAAGUUCUUUGCCCCUCUGCUUCACCAGGCAGCUGUGCAGGGCAGGAGGGUUCCCAUCUGAGAGUGGAGCCAGCCCAGCCAUGCCCCUAGCCCUGUUCAGACUCAUGUUUGGCCUUGGUCCAGGAAGAUUUGCUUAUUUGGCAGAUUUGAAGCUGAUCCCGAGUGCAGGGGGCCCCAGUGAUUUUGGGGUGUUAGGACACUUGAUAAUCAUGGGGGAAGCAUCCCAGCAAGACCUCUCCUUGAUAAACAAGAGAAACCUGGAUGGCCUAAUGGCAUCUCUGCCCUGGAGUUGUACCAGAGGGGUGUUGUGAGUCCAAGGAAGGACACCAGUCUGCAACCCCACCUCCCUGUGGCCUGGCAGGAUCCUCUAGGACCCAGCCCCCAGUCCCAACCCCUGCCCCUGCCCCUCUCCUCCAAAAAGCCCUCCUGAAUUGCCCCAGCCCUUCUUCAUGCCCCCAGCACCUUGUGAGUGCCAAGGCUUUAGCAUGCCAGCCCGUGGGAGGCGGAGCAGAGUGGCAGUUACACCAACAAGAUCUCGAGUCAGGGUUUGAAUCCCGACUCUGCCCCUCACAAGCUGCGUGGACCCUGAAAAAGCCAUCACCUCUUUCUGAGUCUUACCUCUUCUGCUAUAUAAAUGGGGACAACCUCUGCUGGUUUGCCAGGCUGCAGCGAGAACUGAUGGGGCACAAACCCCACCCAGGAUCACCAACUUGCAACCCUUGCCUUCUCUGCUCUCCACCAUACCCUACUCUGCCCUAUCCCAUGCCUUUCAACCUCCUUUCUGGUCUCUGGCCCGCAAGCCCUCAAGGGGCCUUUCCCAUCCUACUGACAAGUUCACCCCUUAGAAAUGAGAAUCAGGGAAUUAGAAUAUCCCUGCUAAACUCUGAAGAGGUGCUCCACCACACCAGAACCCAGUCCAUGCACCCCCUUCACCCUUUCCAUCCAUUCUCUGUCUCCACAGCCCUCUUGGGCAGCCCUCCCAGAUCCUUACUCCCGGGCACCCGAGGUUUGUUCCUGCCUUGGGGCCAUUGCACUGGCAUUUCCUUCCACCUGGGACAUCCUUUCUCUAAGUUGUCUGUGAAGCCAGCUCCUGCUCUUUGCUCAGGUGUCCAGGUUCAGUGCCAGCCUGCUCCAGAGCUCUCCCUGAUCCUCUCAUCUGCAGCCGGUGCCCCACAUGCAAAGCCGCUCUCUUCUCUGCCCCUUGCUUUGCUUCCACUCUCAAAACUCAUGAGCGCCCAUUCGUUUACUUUUAUUAUCUCUCACCCACCAGCCCAUGAGCCCCACAAGGAUGAGGAAUGUGUCCACUGUUCCCUGCUGUGUCCCCAGAGCCUCAAUGGAGUUGGUGCCCAAAGAGCAGGUAAAGGACUUAAUCGGUAAAGGGUUACCAUCAGCUAUUGUAUGUAUGUUGUUCAGGGUCCUGUGAGCCCACCAGUGCCGGUAGGUGUGCUCCUUUCACCAACCCAGAACCACCUAGAGGUAACUGCAGUGACGAGAGGAUUUUCGGCAUCUGUUAGACUGGGUCUCUGACUUGGGUCUGGGGCCCAGUGACAUGCUCUCCACUGAUUCUGUUCUAAGGAGGUAUCACUUACUCCCUUGAUAUGGAAACAGGAGAAAAAGAUUGAAGCAGAAGAAGAGCAGGGGUCAGAAGUAGCAGGUAGCCCCUCCUCAAGCAAGAGCUGGACCUUGGCUUAGGCCGAGGGAGGGAGAAGGGGAUAGGACCCUGUUGGCCAGGCCAAUGGCUCUAGAGACCUUAGCAGGCAGGGACACAAGGGGAUAAAAACAGCAUCCAAGAACAACUCGCCUAAAACCUGCUCCCCCAUCCCCCACCCUGGCCCACCUGCCAUCCUUGCCACCUCAUGUAGCAGUGCCAGGGCUCAUGAGUAGUUAGUACCCCAUGGGGUCAGCUCGGCUCUGUGCCUCACCUCCUCAGCUAGUCCCUCGCCUUCUCUGGGCCUCAGUUUCCUCAUCUGUGAAGUAUGGAUAAUGUUUAGAGGGUUGUGGUGAGUAUUACUUGAGGUGUAAAGCCCUUGUCUAUUGACAGUACCUGGUGGACACCCCAAGACAUCUCCCCUCUGUAGACAAUGAAGGGCCUCCUCUUGUUUUCUGUCUGGGCCAUGCUACCAGGUGGGGAAUAGCCUGCCUUUGGCCCCUCUGUGUCUACUGCCUGCAUACUGGGUGACUCAGAUCUGGGGGUGGAACAGAUGGACUGGUCACCUCAAGCAUUCUCGGAGUUACAAAGGGGCUGAGAUCCAGGGUGAAGCAAUGAGGAACUGAAGACAUCCCUGGCAGGGCCAUGGUGACCUGGGGGAGGUGUGUUGUCGGCCCUGGAGCCAGCAUUGGAGAGGGUGCCAGGCAGGACACAUGGGCCUGGGAACCACUCUGGUAAAGAUAGUCCUCACCCUCCUCUUUCCCACACUCACCAAAAAUCAGCACCAUUCUUUGCCACAACUAUUUCCAUGCCCCCAAGUUUCUGUGCCUCCAGAGUUCUUGCUUUAUAUCCUUUCCUGCCUCCUUGUCAUCGACAUGUCACUCUUCACACCUUCCUGCCUUCAGCUGCCAGCAUUUGCUUCUUCUAAUCUGAAACUUCUAAUUAUCUAAGGGCUAAGAAAAUAGGGUGACUUGAACUAUUUCUAAAGUAAAGGCUGGGAGUUCCCUGGUGGCUCAGUGGGUUAAGCAUCUGGCACUGUCACUGCUGUGGGUGGGGUUGAUGCUGUGGCGCUGGUUUGAUCCCUGGCCUGGUAACGUCCACAUGCCAUGGGUGUGGCCAUAAAUAAAUAAAUAAACUAAAUAAGACUAAAAAAGACUGUAAAUGAGGUUCAGGGGAGCUCUCCUGUGAAGUACUCAAAGGUGUAGAAAGUUUCAGGGCAUAGUGGGAGUCCAGGUGCCACAGUGUUCCCAAGUCAGACCAUCGGAUAAUGAAGAGUGUGUUUUCAUUUUAACUGCUCUUCCACUUACUUCUAGUAUGGCAGGACCUUGCGUGAGAGGUGAGAAUCCCCAAACCCCAACCAGCUUGGACCAUCAUCCCCAUCCAAGGCGAGACCCUGCCAGCUUUUUGGCCACUAUGGUCAACUCAAUUGUUCUGCCCCACUGCACAGAAAGACCUUCCCCAGGCCUCCUUGCAAUCGGGAAAGUGAGCCUCCCAGUCACACCCUGGUGCCUUUGCAUGCCCUGUACCUUCUCCCUGAAUGACUGGCCCUGACUUCUCUGACUGUUGGCCUUCUCAGCUCAAAAGACACUGUCCCCAGGAGGAGUCCACAGCAGCCUUUCCCCAGUAUUCUCCACUCUCAAGCUUUA